Molecule: long non-coding RNA, 395 nt
Organism: Oxyura jamaicensis (ruddy duck)
Lineage: Eukaryota; Metazoa; Chordata; Aves; Anseriformes; Anatidae
Exons: 3
Source: RefSeq, a predicted model, not a curated record
CACUUCUGAUGGAGCACUGGAACAGGUUGCCCAGAGAUGCUGUGGGGUCUCCCUCCUUGGAGAGCUUCAAAAGCUGCAUGGACAUGGUCCUGGGCAACUUGUAAAUCUCUGAGGUGGCAGCUUUUUACACCAGUUUGCAACAAUUUACUAAGAAAUAAACCUUUUACACCACUGGUCUUAUGAGAACAUACCAGCCUUCUCAGAAGAAGGAUUCAUUAGAGCUAUUUUUCUGAAUCUGAACUAUCCUUUGAAAGCAAGUUUUCCAGCUUAACCAUCAAAAAAUAUGAACAUGAGCUUCAUUCACAAGAGAUACUCUGGUAAUAACAACACAGAAAAAAAGAAAACAAUGAAUGACAAAUAUAAUAGAACUGGAUUUGAACUGAAACGUUGUUUCA